ACCCGUCCGCCUGCACCCAAAGAGCUAAAUCCGCCGCCUCCCCGGCGCUAAUUCAUCCUCGCGACGCCGCCUCCCCAAAAAAUGCAUCUUUGCUUUGGGCCGCCCAUCCCGCUCCCGAGAAGAUCAGGCGAGCGCGGUGGCUCGGUCGACUCGCCACGCCACGGCCGGCCGCGCUUGCUUGAUUCGGCUCCCUGAACUCUACUGCUGCUGGGUCGUGGCGUUCGUUCCGGCGGAUGUCCCGCUCCGACGGCGACCCCGUGAUCCGGCUGUGGAGUACUCGCUCUCAGGGACGGGCCGGUCGCCGCACGUUCUGCCGUUUCUGGGGCUGCCCGACGUCGCGCCUCCCUCAGACGUGGCACCUGCCUCCGACGUCGCCGCAACCUGCAACACCGGAGAGAUUGAUGCAGAAUUUGUUGAAGUGCUUGCCUUCAGGUAACUAUUCGAAUUCUGAUCUCAGUUAGAUUAUUUGCCUACCCAGUUAGGAGAGCGCUCAAGAAUUCAAAAGUUGUGUCUGGUGGUGGUGCUAUUGAUAUGGAAGUAAGCAAGUAUCUCAGGCAGCAUGCACGGACCAUAGCUGGGAAGUCUCAGUUUUUUUUUGUUAAUUAAUUUGCUAAAGGUCUUGAGGUAUUAUCUUCCUGGCCUAUUCUUUUCCAUCCAAUGUAUAUUCUCCUAUACUUUUGUAAUCAUACUUGAUGGAGGAGCUUUUAAGAUGUGUCAUCAAGGGUUGCUUAGAUUUUAGAUCUCAGACCAAGGGUGGAUUAAACUACUUAACCCUCAUAGUUCAAGAUUCGAGCAUCUUGAAUGGGUGACAAUUGUGUGAUUGGCAGAAAUACAUACAACAUUAGAAUUCACAUAUAUCAAUAGUUUGUGCCAACCACUUGGCCUUGAAGUGUCCUUGAGCUUUGAUAGGCUACUGGUUGGUUGAAGUUUCUCUGAAAUAAGGAAAAUAUGCAUGUCAUUGUUUUGUCUGAUCACUAUGACUUGUGAAUAACAUUAGAAUGUCAUAUUAUGUUGAUGACUCACUCACUUUUGCUUGAUGUUUGUUCACAGUUUUCAAAUACAUAGAAUGCAAGCUCCUUAGAUGAAAUACAUCUUCCUGCAGGUUAUUCCAAGACAGCUUUGUGACAAUACUGGAUUUGAUGCAACGGAUGUGCUAAAUAAGCUCAGACAGAAGCAUAUGGUGAAGGUGCUAACUAUGGUGUGGACAUCAACACUGGUGGAAUUGCCGAUUCCUUUUCUAACUUUGUGUGGGAACCUGUAGUUGUGAAGAUCAAUGCUAUGAAUGCUGCUACUGAAGCUGCGUGUCUUAUUGGAGAAGCUGUUUGAGCCAAUCACACAUCAAAUUCGUGAUUUUUUUUUUGCAAGCUGUUUCUUUGCAUAUUGGUGCUACAAUGUAGUUCAAAUAAUCUAAUUUCUUGCCUGCCGCUUGUGUCUGUAAUUCAGAGGAGAUAUAGCAAACCCAAAAGUACAGCUGAAACUGUUGUGCUUAUGUAGACACAAAAAAAAAACUGUUGUGCUUAUGUAUUUGUAUUUGUAGGUAUACAUACCAACAAUAAAAUGCUGGUUGGAAUUGACUGGAGACUUCUGCUU
Molecule: long non-coding RNA, 1590 nt
Organism: Panicum virgatum (switchgrass)
Lineage: Eukaryota; Viridiplantae; Streptophyta; Magnoliopsida; Poales; Poaceae
Exons: 5
Source: RefSeq, a predicted model, not a curated record